UCAAAACAGGUGUACUUUGGGAAUAAAAGGUCAAAGUAGUGUAUUUUAGGAAAAGAAUGGAGAGAGAAUAUGUAAUUUGGUAAAAAAACCCAUCUUCUUGCCUAUAAAUAGACCCAAAUAAUGUGAGGUUCCAUACUCCAAAAUCCACAUCUAGCAGCAAAUUAUGGAAUCCCAUGAUGAAGAGCAUGCUGCCAAACUACUUAGAGCUCAAACCCACAUAUGGAAUCACAUAUUUAGCUUCAUAAACUCCAUGUCCCUUAAAUGUGUGGUUGACUUAGGCAUACCAGAUAUCAUACACAACUAUGGCCAACCCAUGCCACUCUCAAACCUCAUUGCUUCACUACCAAUCCACCCAUCCAAAACUUGCUUCGUCCAUCGCUUGAUGCGAAUCAUGAUCCAUUCUGGCUUCUUCUCUUUACAAAAUCAUGACUUGGAGAAUGAGCUAGAAGCCAAGUAUGUGCUAACCGAUGCAUCUGUACUACUGCUUAAGAACCAUCCGAUGAGUGUGACACCUUUCUUGCAUGCCAUNNNNNNNNNNNNNNNNNNNNNNNNNNNNNNNNNNNNNNNNNNNNNNNNNNNNNNNNNNNNNNNNNNNNNNNNNNNNNNNNNNNNNNNNNNNNNNNNNNNNNNNNNNNNNNNNNNNNNNNNNNNNNNNNNUCACUUGUUCAAUGAUGCCAUGGCAAGUGAUGCUCGAUUUGUCACUAGUUUGGUGAUUGAGAAAUGUAAGGGAGUGUUCAUGGGAUGGAGUCAUUGGUUGAUGUUGGGGGAGGCACAGGGACCAUGGCAAAAGCCAUUGCUAAAUCAUUCCCUCGGGUGGAAUGCAUUGUGUUUGAUCUACCACAUGUUGUUUCUGGCUUGAAAGGAAGUGAGAACCUUAAAUAUGUUGCAGGGGACAUGUUUGAGGCAAUUCCUCCAGCUGAUGCCAUUUUGUUAAAGGUAAAUCACUAUUCACAUUCAGAAUACAAUUUUACAUUCAUACCAUUAACACCCAGUUUUUAUACUUGAGUGAUGUCAAAUUUUAAAGAAUUAAAGCAAAUAAUUGAUCGAUUGGAAAAAAAAAUGAACGAUUUUAUGAUCAUUGAUCACUUGAAAUAACUUCAAAUAUAUAUAUGUAUAUUGUUCACUAAGCUAGUAAGCUAGCACCAGCUAGUAGUCCAACUACAUAUCUGCCACUAUCAUACCAAAUCAGACCAACUAAGUGGUCUAUAUGGCUUGUAAUAAUUAGUACUAGUUUACUAAGUGGGUACGUAAAGUAACUAGCAUAUGAUUAUUUGAAAAGUAAAUCUCUGCUCAUAUUCUAGAAAAAAUAGUUAUAGAUCUCUUCAAAUUUGACUUUUCUUUUUUCUGAAGUAUUGACUAUAUGUUGCGGUUAAAAACAUUACAUGAUGUGCCAAUUCAUUCUACCAAGCUUAAUAUGAAUGCAAGUCAAUAUUUUAUGAUUCUGAUCGGUGUGUUACUUUGAAUGACAAAGCAGUGGAUAUUGCAUGACUGGAAUGAUGAGGAGUGUGUGGACAUAUUGAAGAAAUGCAAAGAGGCCAUAACGAGGAAAGGCAAAGAAGGGAAGGUGAUCAUCAUAGACAUGGUGGUGGAGAAUGAGAAGAGAGAUGAUGAAUCAGUUGAAACACAGCUCUUCUUUGAUAUGCUGAUGAUGGUGUUGGUCACUGGAAAAGAGAGAAGCAAGAAAGAAUGGGCUAAGUUGAUUUCCUCUGCUGGUUAUAACAACUACAAGAUAACUCCAGUCUUGGGCUUAAGGUCUCUCAUUGAGAUCUAUCCAUAGUAAGUUAAUGAGAUGUGCCAGCACUCUAUCAUUCAUAUAUGUUAGGGCUAUAAUUUUUCUGUUUCGAUUCAUGAGUGAAUGUUGGAUAAGUAACAAUAGCAAUAGACUGAACUCUCUUCAUCAUAGUUGUGUUGUUGGAACAGUACUGUCAAGAAAGGAAAAAAAAAAAAUCUGAGGAUAAGUAUAGUUUGCGUGGUAUAUAUAGCAGGUGAAGAAAAAAAGGAACAUGUGGUUAAAGAGCACAGUGAGUUUGGCAAUUACUUUUUUUUUUGGUAACUGAAUUUGCCUUGUAUUAGAUUUGUGAAGAACUAAGUUUGUGAGAGUUGUUAUUGAAUAAGAUUGUUUCUAAAGGUUUGAUAAAGGUAUAAUGGUUUAUCUAAAUACAUUUCAAUAUUUUAGUAUUUUAAUUAAGUUCAUAAUGAUGUGAUUAUGUGUCAUGUCAAUAAAGAUAUAUCAUUAAUCUCAUCUUAAUAAUAGUGUCAUGCAAACAAUGAAAUUAAUGAGACUAAAAUAAAAUAAAAAGAAUUUUAUGGAGACAUAAAAUAGAUAAAAUAAAUAUUACAGAAACUAAAAAUGAAAAGAAAUUAUAAGAAUAAAAAAAAAAGAAUUUGCUUAUAUCUUCAAAGGUCACUUUAAGUUGUUUAUAUUUUUUAUUUUAAAUAUUGGGUUGCACCAAAGAAAUGAUCAUUAUAUUCAUGUUAAGAAUAAAUAAAGCAAAACAUAAUGACCAAAAAAUAUAGCAAAUUAAAUCCUAUAAUUUUUCUUUUGGAUGAAGUAUGAAUAUAAAAAGUAAGAGACAACAAAGUUUAAGACAUCACGAAAGAAUUUUUCAUAAAUUUCUCUAUAAUGACUUUAGGAUAAAAAUCUCAUCUUUGACUUCAAAACACUUGAACACAUAUCCUAAUUAGCUAAAGUAUCAAUCACAUGAUUAGAAUCAUGUGACAUAAUUGCAACUAACAAAGUUCAAAUGUUUCUUACUAAUGCUAUUAAAUAAAAUAAGAUUAAUUGAAAUUUAUUUGUAUUUGAAGUCAAGACUGUUAACUCGUUGACAAGUGUACCAAAUUUGUCACAAGUAAUAAAGUACUCGGAAGUCCGAGUGUCGAAUCCACUGGGAUUUUGUGUUGUACUUAUCUUGGAUACUUUUCAAUUUAUAAGGAAUUAAAAGAAAAAGUAGAAGGCAAUAAUAGUAAAUUAUAAAUAGAAAGCAAAAGAAUUAAAAGCAAAAUAAUUAAAGAGAGAAUUCAAUGGAAUGCGAAUGUUAGGACCUAGCAUGCCUUGUUUGCCUAGGAUGUAUGAAUUUAUGAUUUUUCUUCACCAAUUUAGGUGAUUCUAUUCUACCCACAUCUGUUCAUUUACUUGCCCCUGAUUCCUCACGAUGACAAGUCUAUUUUAUUCAUUUAUCUCCCAAAUUCCUUUGUAAAAACUCAACAAAUAAAAUGCAUGAAGUAUGAAUUCUAGAUGUUUGCAAGAAUGCAUGGGCAUAAAAUUAUCAUUCUAUUCCUAGCAAUGACUUUCUUAUGAAAUCCUUUCUUUUUGUUCUAUUAGAAGUUACCUUCUUCCGAGUGUCUAACCCCUAAAACUAAUGCAUGCAUACCUUCUUUAAAUCUUGUUUAGAAGUUACCAUCUCCCGAGUGUCUAACCCCUAAAAGAAUAUAAAGAUGAAUAAUGCAAGAUAAAAACAGAAAAGAUAAUAGAAUAGAAAAACCUGGAAAAUAAUCCUGUUGCAUUGAUAAAUAUGAAGUACAUCAUACAUUUCUUUGACUUUUUAGGCCUACCAGGCCCUAACUAGGAGUUUAGUCACUCAUGGCCAUUGAGGGCUUUACAAUGAGAAGGGGGUGAAAAAAAGAUGAUAAAAAAAAGGAAGAGAGUAAAAAUUCUCAGGCUUUGAGUAGUAGUGAGAGUGCUCUCUGAGACUUGGUGUUUUCCUCCUUGGCCUGACUCUCUAUCUAUAGCUGAUGAAGUGGACUUGGGCUUGAUUCAAACAAUCUUCCUUAUCUAUCUUUUUUAUAUCUUUUGGAUCUUGUAAAUCUUAUCUUUCCUAUAUCUGCAAGUCAUAGAUAAGAAAAUAUCAAUUCAUAUCUUUUAAGUCAAAAUUAACUGCUAAAUAAAUAUCUUUAAAGAUAUUUUCAAAUUAGCUCAUAUUUAACAGUUAUCAAUAUCUUUUAGAUCUUGUAAUCUUAUCUUUUUAUAUCUGCAAGCCAUAAAUAAUAAAAGUAUCAAUUCUUAUCAUUUAAGCAAAAAAAUAACUGUUAAAUAAAUAUUUUCAAAGAUAUUUUCAAUAUAUUUUUAUUAUGAAAUAACUCAUAUUUAACAGUUAUCAAAGACACAGAUAUAUUUUUUUGCUUGCAUUCGAAAUCAAAGAAAGCAAGUACAUCUAAGCGCUUAAUGAAGAUGGUUGGAGGUAGACAGAGGUGAAUUCACAUAUAAGCUUGUUUCCCCAGUAUGAAUUUUUAUACUUGAAUAUAAUACUCCUAUUCAUGUGGGCAUAGAUGCAAAAGUUUGAGAUGAGGAAGGUCACAAGCUUGGAUAGGUUUGGAAGAUAAAUGGUUUGUGAGAAUAUAUAAAUGCUAAAUUAAAACAUAUUAUUGGAAGACAGUUGAAGGAUUGACGUCGGAGUAGUUAGUGCAGUGGAAAUAAAUGCCAUUAUUGGAGGACGGUUGAAAGAUUAGCGUAGGUGGGGCUAGUUAUUUCGGUGGGAAUAAAUGCUAAAUUAAAACAUAUUAUUGGUGGAAAUUUGGGAUGGAAAUGAGUCACGCCGCUUGUCAAGGGCCUUUUGCUCGACCUAUUUAAGACUUGGUUUGACUUGACUUGUUUAUUAUAAAGGUCAAACUUAAGCUUUUUAAAAAGCUAUUUUAGAUAAAAAUGACAAAGGCAAAUUAUAAAAAAUAAACUUGUUAAGCUUGACAAACCGGCUUGUUAAGCUUGACAAACUGGCUUAUUUAAGUAAUAAUAAUAAUAAUAACUAUUAUCUAUACCAUUUUUAUGGAAUUAUGAAUGACAGGCUGAAGCGACAUAAGGUGCUUAGAGAAUUCACUUGCAUGUGAAAAAUUUUCAAAAGAAAAGAUUCAAGUUAAAGGAUCAAGAAAUCAGAUGAAUACUUCAAAUGAAAAGAAUGUUUUGUAAAAUAUUGUCAGACAAUGUAAAUAGUUUUAUUUGACUAUAGUAAUAUAAAUCAUCGUUAAUCCAAUAUAUUGUUUAAUAUUAUGCUCUCUUUUUUUUCAUUUUCUUGUGAUAUACUUUGUGUUUUAACAACUUGAAUUUAAUAUGAUUUUGUUUAUCAAUUAUUUUUGGAUUUGUACAUUACUUAUAUGAAAUUUUAUAAGUUUUUUUUAGUUAAUAUUUCACUAGGUUUUAGAACAAUUAAUUGGUCAAAGACGUCUUUAAGCAGAUUUUUAAAUAGGCUCGUAGGUAAAAUCAGACUUCAAUGUGAGUCGAGCCGAGCCUUAAAAAAAAUUCUAUGAUAGGUAAUGAGACAAGCUCAAGUCUUGCUUAUUCAACUCAAGCCGAGCUCAAGCCUAAUAAAGCUUGAUUUGCCUUGACUCAUUUUCACUCCUAGUGAGAAUAGGGGUCAACUUCUAAUUUUACUAUAGGCACUUUAAUUAAUAGGGGUGGGUAAGCGGGUUGGCCCGCCCCGCGUAAGGCUAGUCCGCAUAAGCCCGCAUUGGCAGUGGAUCGGGUCAGCCCGCCCCGCAUUCUUACACUGACCAAAUAUAUUGGUCCGCCCCCGCCCCGCGAACCCCGCGAGUCAAACGGGCCAGUCCGUGGGCCUUGUUUUAAAAGAAUUUCAAUUUCAAUAAAAAUGCAACACAAUCAAAUUAAGUUCAAUACAAAUGUAAAUAAAAUCUUAACAAUUAGUCAAUUACAUCAAUAAAAUAAAUAAUGUCUUACAAAAGAAAAUCCAAGCAAUAAAUUUAAAAUAUGAAACUUAAACAUCUCUAACAACAAAUGAUUCUACAUUUAAAGUAAUAUAAUCCUAAUGCGGGCAAUUCGCAGACCCCGUGGGCCAAACUCGCAUAUUCUGCGGGUUAAGUGGGGCGGAUCCAAAAAUAUGACAUCAUCAUGGACCGUUUAAAAAAAUUGAUCCAUUAUCCGCGCGAACCACGGAACCCGGGGGCCAGUCGAUGGACCUGGGCCUGUUUACCCACCCUUAUUAAUUAGCAAGCUAUUAUAUUAUAUUGGUGGAUUAGGACAUCUAUAGUCCAAGGAAUAUAAAAUUUACCUGACUCUUUGUAACUAUGCAUGUGAUCUAUCUAAUGAAUUCCACCUCCUUUUUAUACAUCAUACACAUGCAAUGUUAAUCACUAUGAUAUAAAACAUUUAAAUUAUAUAUUAUUAUUACUAUGAUUUUUUUAAGAUAGAUAUAUUCAAAAUUAAAAAAAUUAUUAUAUUGGAUGGAUAAUGAUUUAAUAAUAUAGUAAAAUUAUUUUAUACUUGUUGGUGUAUAAUCAUUUUUUCUACAAAUAAAUAAAAAUAAUUAUAAUAUAAAACAUUAAUAUACCAUAAAAAUUAAAUAUUAAAAAAGAAAUGUAAAUAAUCAAUUAAAAUAUAUAAAAUUUAUAACAAUUUAUUCAUAUUUGAGAAAUUUUAAAAAUAUGUAUAUAAAUUAUUUUUCAAAUAAAUAUAUUAUUAAUAUACAUAAUUCAAACUAUGAAAAAUAUAUUAUUGAAAUAUUUAAAACACCAAAUACAUUUUAAAAAUUUGAUUUAAAUAAUAUUAAAAUUAAAACAUAACAAUCUCAAAAAAUAUUUUUAUAAAUCAGUCUUUUGUUGGAGAUAAGAAAAUACACUUUAGUUUUUAAUUCUAAAUAUUUAAUAUUGUAUUUGUUUUUUUCCAUACUGUAAUAUAUAAAAAAAUGUAUAAUCUAUUUAAGUUUUAGUAUUUUAUAGUGAAUUUCAAUUUGUUAGUUCUUUACAUAUUAAUUUUCUUUUUCAAAUUUUGUAGUAUCAUAUAUUACCUUUUUAAUAUUUGAAAGACUUGUAAUAUCAAAUAAAAUAAUAUUGCAAUUAAUGUAUAUAUUAACAUAUAAAAAUGAAUAGCAUAGAUAAAAAAAAAAUCAAGUAUGAUCGACAAUGAAAGUUUAAUCAUUGAAAAAGUUGCAUGAUGUCUUCUCGGGUACACCACUCUACUUCUAUAAGUGGUGCAUUGAUUUACUAGAUAAGUUUUUUUUAAGGAAUCCAUUAAAUGUAUUUUUCUCCAAUCCUGAUAUUAUUACAAAGUUGUUUUCACGUGGUGAUUAAUUUUCAAGAUGAUGAGCACAUACAAGAUAAUUUUCAGGAUCAAGAGCACAUACAAAAUAGCUUAUAAGAUUUUAAGUUACACUACAUACAAUUUGGUCAAAUUUUCUUAUAUUGUAAAAAGUUAUAGAUAAAAGUGAUGAUAAUUGUUGUCACCACUACUGAAGAAAGAAGAUUCUAAAUUGGUUAUUUGGAGCAUUCUACAUUGGUUGAGGAUCGUCGUAGUAGACCACAUCGUCAAAAGGGAAACCUAAUCUAGGACGGUCGCAAAGACUAUCUUAAAAAAUGUGUGUUUCUAAUUGCAGUCCCAAACUUUCCAAAAUUUAAUAUAGUGGUCAAAAUCAUGAUCAUUAACUAUUUUUUAAAACGUAGCUACAGAGAAUAAAGUUGUUGCUUAAACAUCUUCACGCCUAUAAAUAGACCCAAAUAAUGUGAGGUUCCAUACUUCAAAAUCCAAAUCUAGCGAUUAAUUAUAGUUUAGGCAGCAAAUUAUGGAUUCCCAUGAUGAGGAGCAUGCUGCCAAACUACUUAGAGCUCAAACCCACAUAUGGAAUCACAUAUUUAGCUUCAUAAACUCCAUGUCCCUUAAAUGUGUGGUUGACUUAGGCAUACCAGAUAUCAUACACAACUAUGGCCAACCCAUGCCACUCUCAAACCUCAUUGCUUCACUACCAAUCCACCCAUCCAAAACUUGCUUUGUCCAUCGCUUGAUGCGAAUCAUGAUCCAUUCUGGCUUCUUCUCUCAACAAAAUCAUGACAUGGAGAAUCAGCUAGAUGCCAAGUAUGUGCUUACCGAUGCAUCUGUACUAUUGCUUAAGAACCAUCCGAUGAGUGUGACACCUUUCUUGCAUGCCAUGCUUGAUCCAAUUUUGACAAAUCCAUGGAAUCAAUUUUCUACUUGGUUCAAAAAUGGUGACACUACACCAUUUGAAACGGCACAUGGGAUGAUGCUUUGGGAUUACGCUGGCGCUGAUCCAAAACAUAAUAACUUGUUCAAUGAUGCCAUGGCAAGUGAUGCUCGAUUUGUCACUAGUUUGGUGAUUGAGAAAUGUAAGGGAAUGUUCAUGGGAUUGGAGUCAUUGGUUGAUGUUGGGGGAGGCACAGGGACCAUGGCAAAAGCCAUUGCUAAAUCAUUCCCUCGGGUGGAAUGCAUUGUGUUUGAUCUACCACAUGUUGUUUCUGGCUUGAAAGGAAGUGAAAACCUUAAAUAUGUUGCAGGGGACAUGUUUGAGGCAAUUCCUCCAGCUGAUGCCAUUCUGUUAAAGGUAAAUCACUAUUCACAUUCAGAAUACAAUUUUACAUUCAUACCAUUAACACCCAGUUUUUAUACUUGAGUGAUGUCAAAUUUUAAAGAAUUAAAGCAAAUAAUUGAUCGAUUGGAAAAAAAAAAUGAACGAUUUUAUCAUCAUUGAUCACUUGAAAUAACUUCAAAUUUUUAUAUGUAUAUUGAUCACUAAGCUAGUAAGCUAGCACCAGCUAGUAGUCCAACUACAUAUCUGCCACUAUCAUACCAAAUCAGACCAACUGAGUGGUCUAUAUGGCUUGUAAUAAUUAGGACUAGUUUAUUAAGUGGUUACGUAAAGUAGCUAGCAUAUGAUUAUUUGACAAGUAAAUCUCUGCUCAUAUUCUAGAAAAAAUAGUUAUAGAUCUCUUCAAAUUUGACUUUUCUUUUUUCUGAAGUAUUGACUAUAUGUUGCGGUUAAAAACGUUACAUGAUGUGCCAAUUCAUUCUACCAAGCUUAAUAUGAAUGCAAGUCAAUAUUUAUUUCUUUUGUAUGAUUCUUAUCGGUGUGUUACUUUGAAUGACAAAGCAGUGGAUAUUGCAUGACUGGAAUGAUAAGGAGUGUGUGGACAUAUUGAAGAAAUGCAAAGAGGCGAUAACGAGGAAAGGCAAAGAAGGGAAGGUGAUCAUCAUAGACAUGGUGGUGGAGAAUGAGAAGAGAGAUGAUGAAUCAGUUGAAACACAGCUCUUCUUUGAUAUGCUGAUGAUGGUGUUGGUCACUGGAAAAGAGAGAAGCAAGAAAGAAUGGGCUAAGUUGAUUUCCUCUGCUGGUUAUAACAACUACAAGAUAACUCCAGUCUUGGGCUUAAGGUCUCUCAUUGAGAUCUAUCCAUAGUAAGUUAAUGAGAUGUGCCAGCACUCUAUCAUUCAUAUAUGUAAGGGCUAUAAUUUUUCUGUUUCGAUUCAUGAGUGAAUGUUGGAUAAGUAACAAUAGCAAUAGACUGAACUCUCUUCAUCAUAGUUGUGUUGUUGGAACAGUACUGUCAAGAAAGGAAAAAAAAAAAAUCUGAGGAUAAGUAUAGUUUGCGUGGUAUAUAUAGCAGGUGAAGAAGAAAAGGAACACGUGGUUAAAGAGCACAGUGAGAGUUUAGCAAUUACUCUUUUUUUGGUAACUGAAUUUGCCUUGUAUUAGAUUUGUGAAGAACUAAGUUUGUGAGAGUUGUAUUAAAUAAAAUAAGAUUAAUUGAAAUUUAUUUGUAAUUGAAGUCAAGACACAUAUAUAUUUUUUUGCUUGCAUUCGAAAUCAAAGAAAGCAAGUUCAUCUAAAAACUUAAUGAAAAUGGUUGGAGGUAGACAGCGGUGAAUGCACAUAUAAGCUUGUUCUCACAGUAUAAAUUUUUAUACUUGAAUAUAAUACUCCUAUUCAUGUGGGCAUAGAUGCAAAAGUUUGAGAUGAGGAAGGUCACAAGCUUGGAUAGGUUUGGAAGAUAAAUGAUUUGUGAUAAUAUAUAAAUGCUAAAUUAAAACGUAUUAUUGGAAGACAGUUGAAGGAUUGGCGUUAGUGUAGUUAGUGCGGUGGGAAUAAAUGCUAUUAUUGGAGGACGGUCAUACGUGGAGCUAGUUAUUGCGGUGGGAAUAAAUGCUAAAUUAAAACAUAUUAUUGGAAGGCAGAUUGACUCGUAGAAGUUAUUGUUGUGGGAAUAAAUGCUAUUAUUGGAGGACGGUUGAAGAAUUGGUGUACGUGGGGUUAGUUAUUGCGGUGGGAAUAAAUGCUAAAUUAAAAUAUAUUAUUGAUAGACACUUGAAGGAUUGGCGUCAGAGUAGUUAGUGCGGUGGGAAUAAAUGUUAUUAUUCUCAUCUUAAUAAUAAUGUCAUGCCAACAAUGAAAUUAAUGAGACUAAAAUAAAAUAAAAAGAAUUUUAUGGAGACAUAAAAUACAUAAAAUAAAUAUUAUAGAAACUAAAAAUGAAAAGAAAUUAUAAGAAUUAAAAAAAAGAAUUUGCUUAUGUCUUCAAAGGUCACUUAAAGUUGUUUAUAUUUUUUAUUUUAAAUAUUGGGUUGCACAAAAGAAAUGAUCAUUGUAUUCAUGUUAAGAAUAAAUAAAGCAAAAUAUAAUGACCAAAAAUUAUACCAAAUUAAAUUCUAUUUUUUUUUCUUUUGGAUGAAGUAUGAAUAUAAAAUUAAGAGACAACAAAGUUUAAGACAUCACGAAAGAGUUUUUCAUAAAUUUCUCUAUAAUGACUUCAAGAUAAAAAUCUCAUCUUUGGCUUCAAAACACUUGAACACAUAUCCUAAUUAGCUAAAGUAUCAAUCAUAUGAUUAGAAUCAUGUGACAUAAUUGCAAGUAACAAAGUUCAAAUAUUUCUCACUAACGCUAUCAAAUAAAAUAAGAUUAAUUGAAAUUAAUUUGUAUUUGAAGUCAAGACACAUAUAUUUUUUUGCUUGCAUUCGAAAUUAAAGAAAGCAAGUUCAUCUAAACGCUUAAUGAAAAUGGUUGGAGGUAGACAGAGGUGAAUGCACAUAUAAGCUUGUUCUCACAGGAUAAAUUUUUAUACUUGAAUAUAAUACUCCUAUUCAUGUGGGCAUAGAUGCAAAAGUUUGAGAUGAGGAAGGUCACAAGCUUGGAUAGGUUUGGAAGAUAAAUGGUUUGUGAGAAUAUAUAAAUGUUAAAUUAAAACAUAUUAUUGAAAGACAGUUGAAGGAUUGGCAUCAGAGUAGUUAGUGCGGAGGGAAUAAAUGCUAUUAUUGGAGGACGGUUGAAGGAUUAGCGUAUGUGGGGCUAGUUAUUUCGGUGGGAAUAAAUGUUAAAUUAAAACAUAUUAUUGGUGGAAAUUUGGGAUGGAAAUGAGCCACGCCGCUUGUCAAGGGUCUUUGGCUCGACAUAUUUAAGACUUGGCUUGGCUUGGCUUGUUUACUAUAAAGGCCAAGCUCAAGCUUUGUAAAAAACUUUUUUAGAUGAAAAGGCCAAAGGCAAAUUAUAAAAAAAACUUCUUAAGCUUGACAAACCGUCUUGUUAAGCUUGACAAACUGGCUUGUUUAAGUAAUAAUAAUAAUAUUAAUAAUAAUAAAAACUAUUAUCUAUAUCAUUUUUAUAGAAUUAUGAAUGACAGGAUGAAGUGACAUAAAGUGCUUACAGAAUUCACUUGCAUGUGAAAAAAUUUUAAAAAGAAAAAGACUCAACUUAAAAGGAUAAAGCAAUCAGAUGAAUACUUCCAAAGAAAAGAAUGUUUUCUAAAAACAUUUUCAGACAAUUUAUAUAUUUUUAUUUGAUUAAAUUAAUAUAAAUCAUCUCUAAUCCAUAUAUUUUUUUAAUAUUAUGCUCUCUUUUUUUUCAUUUUCUUUUGAUAUACUUUGUGUUUUAACAACUUGAAUUCAAUAUGAUUUUGUUUAUCAAUUAUUUUUGGAUUUGUACAUUACUUAUACGAAAUUUUAUAAGUUUCUUUUUUUAGUUAAUAUUUCACUAGGUUUUAGAACAAUUAAUUGUUCAAAGACGUCUUUAAGCAGAUUUUUAAAUAGGCACGUAGGCGAAAUCAGGCUUUUAUGUGAGCCGAGCCGAGCCUUUAAAAAAAUCCUAUGACAGGUAAUGAGCCAAGCUCAAACCUUGCGUAUUCAACUCAAUUCGAGCUCAAGCCUAGUAAAGCUUAAUUUGGCUUAACUCAUUUUCACCCCUAAUGGGAAUAGGGGUCAACUUCUAAUUUUACUACAGGCACUUUAAUUAAUAGGGGUGGGUAAGUGGGCUGGCUCGCCCCGCAUAAGCCCGCAUUGGCAGUGGACCGGGCCAGCUCACCCCGCAUUCUUACACGGACCAAAUAAAUUGGUCCGCCCCCGCCCCGCGGAUCCUGCGGGUCAAACGGGCCAGUCCGUGGCCCUAGUUUUAAUAGAAUUUCAAUUUUAAUAAAAAAUACAACACAAUCAAAUUAAGUUCAAUAUAAAUGUAAAUAAAAUCUUAACAAUUAGUCAAUUACAUAAAUAAAAUAAAUAAUGCCUUAGCAAAAGAAAAUCCAAACAAUAAAUUUAAAAUAUGAAACUUAAACAUCUCUAACAACAAAUGAUUCCAUAUUUGAAGCAAUAAAAUCUUAAUGCGGGCAACCAGAAGAUCCCGCGGGCCAAACUCACAUAGUCUGCGGGUUAAGUGGGGCAGACCCAAAAAUAUGACAUAAUCAUGGACCAUUUUAAAAAAUUGAUCCGUUACCCAAGCGAAUCGCAAGCCCCGCGGACCAGUCAAUGAACCUAGGCCCGUUUACCCACUCCUAUUAAUUAGCAUGCUAUUAUAUUAUAUUGGUGGAUUAGGACAUCUAUAGUCCCAGGAAUAUAAAAUUUACCUGACUCUUUGUAACUAUUAGGGGUGGGUAAACGGGCUCAGGUCCAUGUAUUGACCCACGGGGCCCGCGGUCUAUGAUUAUGUCAUAUUUUUUGGCCCACCUCGCUUAACCCGUGGACUAUGCGGGUUUGGCCUGCGGGGUCCGCGGGUUGUCCGUAGCCCGCAUUAGGUUUAAUUUGUGUGAUCCUGACCCAAUUAUAUUAGGUUUGAUUUUCUCUUUUUCAAUUUAAACUUUUCUUUUAAAAUAACAGAUAAAGAAAUAUAUUAGAUAUGAUAAAGAUAUAAAGAUAAAAAUAAAAGAUUUAAAUUGAAAGAUGAUAAAGAUAAAAAAAGGAUAAGAUAACAAAAAUAAAAGAUUAAGAUAAAAAAGAUAAGUGAUAACUUGCUAAAAAUCUUUUUUUUAUAUUUUAUCAAUCUUUUUCUCUUUUAAUCUAUCAUUUUCAUAUCUGAAAGUCAUAAAUAAUAAAAAUAUCAAUUCUUAUCAUUUAAGCCAAAAAUAAUUGUUAAAUAAAUAUUUUUAAAGAUAUUUCAAUAUAUGUUUAUUGUAAAAAAUAACUCAUAUCAUAUUUAGUAGUUGUAGCAGGCUAAAAACAUUUUUUCUCCUCACGUGUGCUUAACAAAUAUCGAACUAGGCUUCUUGUUGACAACAUACAAGCCUUGAUAUAUACUAAAAAUUGGUUACUAGUAUUUGAUAUGCAGGGUAAAUAAUAUGUAAUAAUUAUUGUCUUUUAAUCACUUAGCUUGACUUUAUUCUAAUAUUUUAUUAUUUUGAGUUUUAGGAAAAGAAGAUGAAGAUAUGGAGAUGGAGAAGGCUCAAGCUACUUCAAAUAUGAAAUCAUUUGUUGUUGGAGAUGUUUAAAUUUCAUAUUUUAGAUUUAUUGCUUCGAUUUCUUUGUUAAGACAUUAUUUAUUUUAUUGAUAUAAUUGACUAAUUAUUGAGAUUUUAUUUAUCUUUGUAUUGAACUUAAUUUGAUUGUAUUAUAUUUUUAUUAAAAUUAAAAUUCUUUUAAAAUUAGGCUCGCGGACUGGCUCGUUUGACCCGCGGGAUCCGUGGGGCGGGGGCGGACCAAUUUAUUUCGUCUGUGUAAGAAGCGGGGCGGAUUGGCCCGAUCCGCUACCAAUGCGGGCUCAUGCGGACGGGCCUUACACGGGGCAUGCCGGUCCGCUUACCCACCCCUAGUAACUAUGCACGUGAUCUAUCUAAUGAAUUCCACCUCCUUUUUAUACAUCAUACACAUGCAAUGUUAAUCACUAUAAUAUAAAACAAUUUAAUUAUAUAUUAUUAUUACUAUGAUUUUUUUAAGAUAGUUAUAUUCAAUAUUUAUAUAAUUAUUAUAUAGGAUGGAUAAUGAUUUAAUAAUAUUAUAAAAUUAUUUUACAUUUGUUUGUGUAUAAUCUUGUUUUCUACAAAUAAAUAAAAAUAAUAAUAAAAUAAAACAUUAAUAUACCAUAAAAAAUAAAUAUUAAAAAAGAAAUGUAAAUAAUCAAUUAAAAUAUAUAAAUUUUAUAACAAUUUAUUCAUAUUUAAGUAAUUUUUAAAAUAUGUAUAUAAAUUAUUUUUCAAAUAAAUAUAUUAUUAAUAUACAUAAUUCAAACUAUGAAAAAUAUAUUAUUGAAAUAUUUAAAACACCAAAUACAUUUUAAAAAUUUGAUUUAAAUAAUAUUAAAAUUAAAACAUAACAAUCCCAGAAAAUAUUUUUAUAAAUCAGUAUUUUGUUGGAGAUAAGAAAAUACACUUUCGUUUUUAAUUCUAAAUAUUUUAUAAUGUAUUGUUGUUUUUCCAUACUGUAAUAUAUAAAAAAGAUGUAUAAUCUAUUUAAGUUUUAGUAUUUUAUACUGAAUUUCAAUUUGUUAGUUCUUUACAUAUUAAUUUUAUUUUUCAAAUUUUGUAGUAUCAUAUAUUACCUUUUUAAUAUUUGAAAGACUUGUAAUAUCAAAUAAAAUAAUAUUGCAAUUAAUGUAUAUAUUAACAUAUAAAAAUGUAUAGCAUAGAUAAAAAAAAAAAAAAAAUCAAACAUGAUCGACAAUGAAAGUUUAAAUAUUGAACAAGUUGUAUGAUGUCUUCUCGGGUACACCACUCUACUUCUCUAAGUGGUGCAUUGAUUUACUAGAUAAUUUUUUUUAAGGAAUCCAUUAAAUAUAUUUUUCUCCAAUCAUGAUAUUAUUACAAAGUUGUUUUUACGUGGUGAUUGAUUUUCAAGAUGGUGAGCACAUACAAGAUAAUUUUGAGGAUCCAAAGCACCUACAAAAUAGCUGAUAAGGUUUUAAGUUAUACUACAUACAAUUUGGUUAAAUUUUCUUAUAUUGUAAAAAAAUUAUAGAUAAAAGUGGUCACAAUUAUUGUCACCCCUACUGGAGAAAGAAGAUUCUAAAUCAAUUAUUUGGAGCGUUCUACAUAGUGGCCAAAAUCAUGAUCACCAACUAUUUUUUAAAACCUAGCUACAGAGGAUAAAGUCGUUGCUUAAACAUCAUCUCGCCUAUAAAUAGACCCAAAUAAUUUGAGGUUCCAUACUUCAAAAUCCAAAUCUAGCGAUUAAUUAUAGUUUAGGCAGCAAAUUAUGGAAUCCCAUGAUGAGGAGCAUGCUGCCAAACUACUUAGAGCUCAAACCCACAUAUGGAAUCACAUAUUUAGCUUCAUAAACUCCAUGUCCCUUAAAUGUGUGGUUGACUUAGGCAUACCAGAUAUCAUACACAACUAUGGCCAACCCAUGCCACUCUCAAACCUCAUUGCUUCACUACCAAUCCACCCAUCCAAAACUUGCUUCGUCCAUUGCUUGAUGCGAAUCAUGAUCCAUUCUGGCUUCUUCUCUCAACAAAACCAU
This 15376-nucleotide long non-coding RNA is filed under the name Glycine max (soybean). RNAcentral describes it as "long non-coding RNA (GMAX_LNC003279)". Lineage: Eukaryota; Viridiplantae; Streptophyta; Magnoliopsida; Fabales; Fabaceae. The record is from RNAcentral.